GAAGCAGUCGUCUUCGGGUGGUGAUGGA
RNAcentral lists this non-coding RNA (28 nucleotides) under Bombyx mori (domestic silkworm). Lineage: Eukaryota; Metazoa; Arthropoda; Insecta; Lepidoptera; Bombycidae. The record is from RNAcentral.